Non-coding RNA from Pelobates cultripes (western spadefoot toad), 217 nucleotides. NCBI's taxonomy places the organism in Eukaryota, Metazoa, Chordata, Amphibia, Anura, Pelobatidae. The record is from the annotation of a GenBank genome assembly.
AUUAAAUAUUUGUACAAGCAAGCAGAUAGCACAAACUGCAAUGAUUACGCUUGUGUUGUAAGUUGCCUUGUCUGAGACAAGGCAUAUGUUGAAACCAGGCAGAAUCUGUUAUACCAUCCAUUUCAUUCAGUGCGAUCAAUUUCAGCAGCAAUCUGCAUACAUUAACAAUGUGAAAAAAUAGAAGGUCAACAAUAAGAAGGGCUUGUUUAACUGAUUC